This is a long non-coding RNA of Pongo pygmaeus (Bornean orangutan), 1539 nucleotides long. RefSeq lists it as uncharacterized. The transcript is spliced from 2 exons. The record is from RefSeq and is a predicted model, not a curated record. Lineage: Eukaryota; Metazoa; Chordata; Mammalia; Primates; Hominidae.
CCCUGCCUCCUUCCUACCCCGCCAACACCUACUCUCUCUCUUCUCUUCCCUGCUUCCUUCCCUCCCAGCCUCGGCCUUCAGGCUGAACAGCCCCCCUGGCUCCACUGGUCCUUGGGCUCAGUCCUCAAGACCCUCUAGCAGCCCUGGGGAGCCACUGGUCCCCCCUUUACUGGCAGCCUCCUCUUCAGGGGCCUCUGGGUGUCCAGCCCCUUGGCCUCAAGGUGGAACCACAAGAAAACGCUGUCAUGUGUUCCAGUCUGCGGAAGCCCACCAAGCAGCAGCAGGACUUUACCACAGCCUGAGGCCUCACAGACAGGGAAACUCAGGCUCAGAAAGGAAGAAAGACCAGCCCGGCGUCGCCAGCUCCAACUCCUGGGCCUUUUCACUGCUCUUCUGAGAACAUUCUAGCCUCCCACAGUUGGGACCUGCUUGUCUUAGCAGUGGCUUAAAAGGCUGCACUUGCUCCUUCUGCAUUUCUAUUUCGAGUCAGCGGGCACUUCCUAAAGCCUCCCAGAGCACCCUUCAGGGGUUGCACAUUGGACCCACAUGGAUGUGAAGUGAGUCUCCUUUUCUACAGGUAAAAAGAAAAUAAUUUGAUUGGCAAGAAGUCUUUUGGCUGUGAGGUUUCCACUGAGCAGAUGACAGCAUUUCAGCUUAGAUAAGUGAGGCUUUUUUGGUACUGCUGAGAAGGCUGAGGCUCUUUUUUUUUCUUUAGACGGAGUUUUGGUCUCAUUGCCCAGGCUGGAGUGCAAUGGCACGAUCUUGGCUCACAGAAACCUCUGCAUCCUGGGUUCAAGAAAGUCUCCUGCCUCAGCCUCCAGAGUAGCUGGGAUUACAAGCACGUGCCACCAUGCCUGGCUGAUUUUGUAUUUUUAGUAGAGAUGGGGUUUCUCCAUGUUGGUCAGGAUGGUCUCAAACUCCUGACCUCAGGUGAUCUGCCCACCUCAGCCUCCCCAAAGUGCUAGGAUUACAGACGUGAGCCACCGCGCCCGGCCAGGCUGAGGUUUUUUACACACAGACUUCUCAGUCUGGCUAGAGGCUUUCUGCACUCGCAGAACUUUUUUGAGGCGGGGUUUCACUCUGUCACCCAGGCUGGAGGGCAGUUGCACUAUCGCGGCUCAUUGAAGCCUUGACCUCCCUGGGCUCAGGUGAUCCUCCCACCUCAGCCUCCCAAGUAGCUGUGUGACUACAGGGACGUGCCACCACACCUGGCUAAUUUUUUCUAUUUUUUUUUUCUUUGUGGAGAUGGGGUUUUGCCAUGUUGCCCAGGCUGGUCUUGAACUCCUGGGCUCAAGCCUUUCCCCUGCCUCAGCCUUCCACAGUGCUGGGAUUACAGGCACAGUGCUGGGGUUACAGGUGUGAGCCACUGUGCCCAGCUGGUUGGACUCUUUCCACCUUUUUCCCCAAACCCAACUUUGUAUUGUUUUGCUUGGGUUCGGAAGUCCUGAUUUUCACACCCUUUUCAGGGCUGGGGAUUUACCAAAAUUUAAGGCUUAACAAAAAUUAAGGCCCCCAAAAGAUAAAAGUGCUACUGCCAGC